Molecule: ribosomal RNA, 253 nt
Filed under: uncultured bacterium
Lineage: Bacteria
Description: partial 16S ribosomal RNA
Rfam family: Bacterial small subunit ribosomal RNA
Source: RNAcentral
UACAGAGGUGGCAAGCGUUAUUCGGAAUUAUUGGGCGUAAAGGGCGCGUAGGCGGCUUGGCAAGUGGAAGGUGAAAUCCCUCGGCUUAACCGAGGAACUGCCUUCCAGACUGCUUUGCUUGAGGCCGGGAGAGGUGAGUGGAAUUCCCAGUGUAGCGGUGAAAUGCGUAGAUAUUGGGAGGAACACCAGUGGCGAAGGCGGCUCACUGGACCGGUUCUGACGCUGAGGCGCGAAAGCGUGGGGAGCAAACGGG